RNAcentral lists this ribosomal RNA (321 nucleotides) under uncultured bacterium. RNAcentral's name for it is "bacterial SSU rRNA". It matches the Rfam family "Bacterial small subunit ribosomal RNA", at positions 32 to 327 of the family's 1533-position model. The record is from RNAcentral.
AAUCAACGCUGGCGGCGUGCCUCAGACAUGCAAGUCGAACGCGAAAUUUCCCUUCGGGGAGAAAGUAGAGUGGCGCACGGGUGAGUAACACGUAGGUAAUUUGCCUUUGGGUGGGGAAUAACUCAGGGAAACUUGAGCUAAUACCGCAUAAUGCAGCGGCUCGACAUCGAGACAGUUGUUAAAGCGGGGAUUGGAGCAAUCCGACCUCGCGCCUAAAGAGAAGCCUGCGGCAGAUUAGCUAGUUGGUAAGGUAAUGGCUUACCAAGGCGACGAUCUGUAACCGGCCUGAGAGGGCGGUCGGUCACACUGACACUGACAUAC